GAUGAACGCUAGCUACAGGCUUAACACAUGCAAGUCGAGGGGAAACGACAUCGAAAGCUUGCUUUUGAUGGGCGUCGACCGGCGCACGGGUGAGUAACGCGUAUCCAACCUGCCCACCACUUGGGAUACCUUGCGAAAGUAAGACUAAUACCCAAUGACGUCUCUAGAAGACAUCUGAAAGGGAUUAAAGAUUUAUCGGUGAUGGAUGGGGAUGCGUCUGAUUAGCUUGUUGGCGGGGUAACGGCCCACCAAGGCGACGAUCAGUAGGGGUUCUGAGAGGAAGGUCCCCCACAUUGGAACUGAGACACGGUCCAAACUCCUACGGGAGGCAGCAGUGAGGAAUAUUGGUCAAUGGACGAGAGUCUGAACCAGCCAAGUAGCGUGCAGGAUGACGGCCCUAUGGGUUGUAAACUGCUUUUAUAAGGGAAUAAAGUGAGCCUCGUGAGGCUUUUUUGCAUGUACCUUAUGAAUAAGGACCGGCUAAUUCCGUG
RNAcentral lists this ribosomal RNA (491 nucleotides) under uncultured bacterium. RNAcentral's name for it is "bacterial SSU rRNA". It matches the Rfam family "Bacterial small subunit ribosomal RNA", at positions 28 to 507 of the family's 1533-position model. The record is from RNAcentral.